GAUGAACGCUGGCGGCGUGCCUAAUACAUGCAAGUCGAGCGAACAGACGAGGAGCUUGCUCCUCUGACGUUAGCGGCGGACGGGUGAGUAACACGUGGAUAACCUACCUAUAAGACUGGGAUAACUUCGGGAAACCGGAGCUAAUACCGGAUAAUAUUUUGAACCGCAUGGUUCAAUAGUGAAAGACGGUUUUGCUUUCACCUAUAGAUGGAUCCGCGCCGCAUUAGCUAGUUGGUAAGGUAACGGCUUACCAAGGCAACGAUGCGUAGCCGACCUGAGAGGGUGAUCGGCCACACUGGAACUGAGACACGGUCCAGACUCCUACGGGAGGCAGCAGUAGGGAAUCUUCCGCAAUGGGCGAAAGCCUGACGGAGCAACGCCGCGUGAGUGAUGAAGGUCUUCGGAUCGUAAAACUCUGUUAUUAGGGAAGAACAAAUGUGUAAGUAACUAUGCACGUCUUGACGGUACCUAAUCAGAAAGCCACGGCUAACUACGUG
Molecule: ribosomal RNA, 497 nt
Filed under: uncultured bacterium
Lineage: Bacteria
Description: partial 16S ribosomal RNA
Rfam family: Bacterial small subunit ribosomal RNA
Source: RNAcentral